RNAcentral lists this long non-coding RNA (710 nucleotides) under Chrysolophus pictus (golden pheasant). RNAcentral's name for it is "lncRNA (ENSCPIG00010014842.1)". Lineage: Eukaryota; Metazoa; Chordata; Aves; Galliformes; Phasianidae. The record is from RNAcentral.
AAUUGUUCCGUGUGAAAAGCCGUGCGGUAACAUCGAGGCGUGCGCUCCUGCCAGGUCGCCGUAAGCCUUCGUCGGCGGAACGGGUUGUGAAGGUCAGUGCUUGGGCAACCCAGACAAGACUGGCUGAUUACCAGGUGCAGAUGCUUUGGGUUGGAGCAGGAUUUGAGCUGGGUGGCCCAGCCAGAGCCAUUGGUCCCUUUCCUGGAAGUGAUGACUGAGUGGCACCAGCAGGGGGAGAAUUGGAUCAGUAUCACAGUGUUUGAAGAGGAGGUUAUUGUGAAGACUGACCUACUGAAACUGUAUCAUACCUUGAAUGCAAUAAAACAACUUUGGUUUGGACUAAAUCAUUAUCCAUGGAGAGCUGCAGAAAGCUACCAGGCAUGUCUAAACUCAUAAAAAUAAUGAGAUGGUAAAACCCAUGGAGAGAACUAGUCCAGGAUUUACUUAGUCACCAACUUGGCCUGUUUUGCCAAACUGUGUACUUACAAAUUGUCAUAUUGGAAUUUGCACUGUGUUUUGUGUGGGCUCAAAGAGAAAUGAUAUCUGACUCUGAAAACCACUGUUCCGAGUCCUGGCUUACUGGUUUCCCAUAAUGGUUGAUGGAGAGUUGACUGUCCUGCUGCAAUGGCCAGUACUUACUCAGUACACAUAUAAAUCACUUUCCAUAUUUGAGGAAUAAAGACAAAACCUUGCGGGGAUUUACUGCUAGU